RNAcentral lists this ribosomal RNA (253 nucleotides) under uncultured bacterium. Its description in RNAcentral is "partial 16S ribosomal RNA". It matches the Rfam family "Bacterial small subunit ribosomal RNA", at positions 524 to 776 of the family's 1533-position model. The record is from RNAcentral.
UACGGAGGGGGCUAGCGUUGUUCGGAAUUACUGGGCGUAAAGCGCACGUAGGCGGCUUUGUAAGUUAGAGGUGAAAGCCCGGAGCUCAACUUCGGAAUUGCCUUUAAGACUGCAUCGCUUGAAUCAUGGAGAGGUCAGUGGAAUUCCGAGUGUAGAGGUGAAAUUCGUAGAUAUUCGGAAGAACACCAGUGGCGAAGGCGGCUCACUGGACCGGCAUUGACGCUGAGGUGCGAAAGCGUGGGGAGCAAACAGG